RNAcentral lists this small RNA (291 nucleotides) under human gut metagenome. Its description in RNAcentral is "5' ureB small RNA". It matches the Rfam family "5' ureB small RNA". The record is from RNAcentral.
GUGUGGAUCUGGGUCGGAGAGAUAAAGUGAAUGUGGGUGUCAAUGCCACCGGCGGUGACGAUCAGGCCCUCUCCGGCAAUGGCCUCGGUGGAACUGCCAAUGAUCAUACCCGGCGUGACUCCAUCCAUGAUCUGUGGAUUGCCUGCUUUGCCAAUGCCGGAGAUCCGGCCGUCCUUGAUGCCGAUAUCCGCCUUGUAGAUACCGGUGCUGUCAAUGAUGACAGCGCUUGUGAUGACGGUGUCCAGACAUUCUUCGUCGGUGUGCGUGGCCGACUGUCCCAUGCCGUCGCGC